RNAcentral lists this unclassified non-coding RNA (197 nucleotides) under uncultured Sebacina. Its description in RNAcentral is "sequence contains ITS2". The record is from RNAcentral. Lineage: Eukaryota; Fungi; Basidiomycota; Agaricomycetes; Sebacinales; Sebacinaceae.
GUACUCUCACACUCCCGAUCUUUGGAUUGGGAGCGGUGGACUUGGGUGUUGCUGCUUACCGUGGCUCACCUCAAAUCGAUUCGUGCACCUCUUGGUUGGACAUAGUACGGCGUGAUAAGUGUCUUCGCCGGCACCUCAUUAGAGGGUGGCCGAUCGGGAGCUCUGUGCUUCAAACCGUCCUCGGACAACAACUGACA